UACAGAGGUCUCAAGCGUUGUUCGGAUUCAUUGGGCGUAAAGGGUGCGUAGGUGGCGCGGUAAGUCGGGUGUGAAAUUUCGGAGCUUAACUCCGAAACUGCAUUCGAUACUGCCGUGCUUGAGGACUGGAGAGGAGACUGGAAUUUACGGUGUAGCAGUGAAAUGCGUAGAGAUGUGGAGGAAUACCGAUGGCGAAGGCAGCCCCCUGGGCCAAUACUGACGCUCAUGCACGAAAGCGUGGGGAGCAAACAGG
Molecule: ribosomal RNA, 253 nt
Filed under: uncultured bacterium
Lineage: Bacteria
Description: partial 16S ribosomal RNA
Rfam family: Bacterial small subunit ribosomal RNA
Source: RNAcentral